UUUUUAGCCAUGGCGACCAUCUUGGUUGGUUGGCCGGGUCAUGCCACACAUUUUUUAAACAAGUUACCCCUAUGAUGAUUGUGGCCAAGUUAAGUUUAAUUUGGCCCAGUAGUUUCAGAGGAGAAGAUUUUUGUAAAAGAUUACUAAGAUUUACGAAAAAAAUGGUUAAAAAUUGACUAUAAAGGGCAAUAACUCCUUCAGGGGUCAACUGACCAUUUUGGUCAUGCUGACUUAUUUGUAAAUCUUACUUUGCUGAACAUUAUUGCUGUUUACAGUUUAUCUCUAUCUAUAAUAAUAUUCAAG
This 303-nucleotide long non-coding RNA is filed under the name Mytilus galloprovincialis (Mediterranean mussel). Lineage: Eukaryota; Metazoa; Mollusca; Bivalvia; Mytilida; Mytilidae. The record is from RNAcentral.